GGAAGGAUCAUUAACACAAAAUCCGAACCUAACUUAAUGUACUGGAGGUGGGAGGAGAAAAAGUGGUUUUAAAUGCGCAAGCACGAAAAGCCACUCUUUCUCUCCUCACUCUUCAAUUUUGAACCUAUUAUUCAAUCUUAAAUGAUUAAGCUUUCUUAAUAAACAAAAAAGAAAAUUUUCAACGAUGGAUAUCUUGGUUCCCAUAACGAUGAAGAACGCAGCGAAAUGCGAUACGCAAUGCGAAUUGCAGAAUUCCGCGAGUCAUCAGAUCUUUGAACGCAGCCGGCGCUGGCGGGCUCUCCCACCAGCAUGUUUGUUUCAGUGUGUUUGGUUGACUUCAUACAACUCAAUGCGAUUGAGAAGCGUUUACUCGCUUUUCUCUCGUGAAAGAGGAGUGCGCGCGGCUCGCAUCCGCCGACGAAGUGGUCACUGUUUACAGUGAUUUCGUUGGAAUCACAGAUGCAGGCCAAUUAAACCGCGCAUUUUUAACCAAAACUCUUCAAUCGGCACCUGAAAUCAAGCAAGAUUACCCGCUGAACUUAAGCAUAUCAGUAAGCGGAGGAAAAGAAACUAACAAGGAUUACCUCAGUAGCGGCGAGUGAAGAGGUAAGAGCUCACACUUAAAAUCUGAGGCGGCGACGUCACAGAAUUGUAAUCUAGAGAAUCAUGCAGAAGGAGGGGUCCUCGCAAAAGUCGCUGGAACUCGACGGCACAGAGGGUGAUACUCCCGUGUUUGGCGAAGGACCCACUGUAUGCGUGGUUUCGAAGAGUCGGGUUGUUUGGGACUGCAGCCCUAAAUGGGAGAUAAACUUCUUCUAAAGCUAAAUAUUUAUGGGAAACCGAUAGCGAACAAGUACUGCGAAGGAAAGAUGAAAAGAACUUUGAAAAGAGGGUUAAAAGACUUGAAAUCGUUGAAAAGGAAGCGGUAGAAGAAGCUCAUUUGGAUGUGACGUUUGGCGUGAGGGGGCCGGCCCGCAUGGUGCGUAGUUCUUCAUUGGCUUGCGCUGUGCUUGGUAACGGACCCCUGCGUCUUUUUCACGUUCAAAAGGCAAGAUGAGGUCUACACUACGGGAAUCACGAUUUGAGACGCCCCUGGCUCUGCCUGGAGCUUGAGUCGAAAGCCGUAGCUAGGCCUGAGGGUCCUGAUGGAGAUCUUGCCAAAAUGGCUUCUACCGACCCGUCUUGAAACACGGACCAAGGAGUCUAACACGUGUGCGAGUCUGCGGGUGCAAAAACCCAUAGGCGCAACGAAAGUGAGAAUAAGAUGCCAACCGCAAGGCGCAGCAUCGUCCGACCUUGAUCUUCUGUGAAGGGUUCGCGAAAGAGCACACUUGUUAGGACCCGAAAGAUGGUGAACUAUACUUGAGUAGGGUGAAGCCAGGGGAAACUCUGGUGGAAGCUCGUAGCGGUACUGACGUGCAAAUCGUUCGUCAAACUUGAGUAUAGGGGCGAUAGACUAAUCGAACCAUCUAGUAGCUGGUUCCCUC
This 1487-nucleotide unclassified non-coding RNA is filed under the name uncultured fungus. Its description in RNAcentral is "sequence contains 18S rRNA gene, ITS1, 5.8S rRNA gene, ITS2, 28S rRNA gene". The stretch from base 507 to 1487 matches the Rfam family "Eukaryotic large subunit ribosomal RNA", at positions 1 to 961 of the family's 3401-position model. Lineage: Eukaryota; Fungi. The record is from RNAcentral.